UUUUAUGGAGAGUUUGAUCCUGGCUCAGGAUGAACGCUGGCGGCGUGCCUAAUACAUGCAAGUCGAGCGAACGGACGAGAAGCUUGCUUCUCUGAUGUUAGCGGCGGACGGGUGAGUAACACGUGGAUAACCUACCUAUAAGACUGGGAUAACUUCGGGAAACCGGAGCUAAUACCGGAUGAUAUUUUGAACCGCAUGGUUCAAAAGUGAAAGACGGUCUUGCUGUCACUUAUAGAUGGAUCCGCGCUGCAUUAGCUAGUUGGUAAGGUAACGGCUUACCAAGGCAACGAUGCAUAGCCGACCUGAGAGGGUGAUCGGCCACACUGGAACUGAGACACGGUCCAGACUCCUACGGGAGGCAGCAGUAGGGAAUCUUCCGCAAUGGGCGAAAGCCUGACGGAGCAACGCCGCGUGAGUGAUGAAGGUCUUCGGAUCGUAAAACUCUGUUAUUAGGGAAGAACAUAUGUGUAAGUAACUGUGCACAUCUUGACGGUACCUAAUCAGAAAGCCACGGCUAACUACGUGCCAGCAGCCGCGGUAAUACGUAGGUGGCAAGCGUUAUCCGGAAUUAUUGGGCGUAAAGCGCGCGUAGGCGGUUUUUUAAGUCUGAUGUGAAAGCCCACGGCUCAACCGUGGAGGGUCAUUGGAAACUGGAAAACUUGAGUGCAGAAGAGGAAAGUGGAAUUCCAUGUGUAGCGGUGAAAUGCGCAGAGAUAUGGAGGAACACCAGUGGCGAAGGCGACUUUCUGGUCUGUAACUGACGCUGAUGUGCGAAAGCGUGGGGAUCAAACAGGAUUAGAUACCCUGGUAGUCCACGCCGUAAACGAUGAGUGCUAAGUGUUAGGGGGUUUCCGCCCCUUAGUGCUGCAGCUAACGCAUUAAGCACUCCGCCUGGGGAGUACGACCGCAAGGUUGAAACUCAAAGGAAUUGACGGGGACCCGCACAAGCGGUGGAGCAUGUGGUUUAAUUCGAAGCAACGCGAAGAACCUUACCAAAUCUUGACAUCCUUUGACAACUCUAGAGAUAGAGCCUUCCCCUUCGGGGGACAAAGUGACAGGUGGUGCAUGGUUGUCGUCAGCUCGUGUCGUGAGAUGUUGGGUUAAGUCCCGCAACGAGCGCAACCCUUAAGCUUAGUUGCCAUCAUUAAGUUGGGCACUCUAAGUUGACUGCCGGUGACAAACCGGAGGAAGGUGGGGAUGACGUCAAAUCAUCAUGCCCCUUAUGAUUUGGGCUACACACGUGCUACAAUGGACAAUACAAAGGGCAGCGAAACCGCGAGGUCAAGCAAAUCCCAUAAAGUUGUUCUCAGUUCGGAUUGUAGUCUGCAACUCGACUACAUGAAGCUGGAAUCGCUAGUAAUCGUAGAUCAGCAUGCUACGGUGAAUACGUUCCCGGGUCUUGUACACACCGCCCGUCACACCACGAGAGUUUGUAACACCCGAAGCCGGUGGAGUAACCUUUUAGGAGCUAGCCGUCGAAGGUGGGACAAAUGAUUGGGGUGAAGUCGUAACAAGGUAGCCGUAUCGGAAGGUGCGGCUGGAUCACCUCCUUUCUA
This 1556-nucleotide ribosomal RNA is filed under the name Staphylococcus aureus. Its description in RNAcentral is "16S ribosomal RNA". It matches the Rfam family "Bacterial small subunit ribosomal RNA". The record is from RNAcentral. RNAcentral also lists the same sequence under 1 other name. Lineage: Bacteria; Bacillati; Bacillota; Bacilli; Caryophanales; Staphylococcaceae.